Molecule: long non-coding RNA, 659 nt
Organism: Ananas comosus (pineapple)
Lineage: Eukaryota; Viridiplantae; Streptophyta; Magnoliopsida; Poales; Bromeliaceae
Exons: 5
Source: RefSeq, a predicted model, not a curated record
GUAUGGAGACACGUAUGAAAACUUCUCUCUUUCCUCCCUUCAUCUCUCUUCUUCUACUCUCUCUCUAGGCUAAGGAAAGCUUGAGGAAAUUGGGGUUGGCAGCCUUGAGGAUUGCGGUUCAGGUGGAGGAGUUGAUCCGAACUGAAGAAGGGUUGAUGAGACUGAUGCGUUGAGUGAUUUCCUUGCUGGUCCGAGCUAAGAGGAACUUCCUAGCAGGGAAUUCCUGCUGCUGAACAACUGGUACAGUAUCUAACUAAGCUAAGAGCUUGGGCUUAAUGGAUGCUAUAGAGCAGGGAGUUCAGUGGAGAGAGCUUGGAAUUGGGGCAAGCAAAUUGCUUUUCAGCUGAGAUCAUAGUUGAUUGAAGUUGCUGAAUUAGAAAUCAGCAAAGGUGCUGACUUGGAAAUCAGCAUAAGGAAUUUUGAAACUAAGGUCGGCGACGCGCUAAUUACGGUAGAGACCGUUCUAGUUCUAUUUACACUGAGUCGCGAGAGCUAGUUGUCGACGCAUUUCGAGACGUGGAUUCUAGUUGUUGACACCACUACAGGUUCCAGUGCGAGCGGUGUGGCCGAGGAUCGUGGCAAGAGCCCCGCAGCUUAGCUAGCUGACACCAGAGUAUAGUAGUUUACCAUUUUGUGUUCAUGUGAGACAUUUUGAUGUA